Gadus macrocephalus (Pacific cod) is the source of this 797-nucleotide long non-coding RNA. RefSeq lists it as uncharacterized. The transcript has 2 exons. The record is from RefSeq and is a predicted model, not a curated record. NCBI's taxonomy places the organism in Eukaryota, Metazoa, Chordata, Actinopteri, Gadiformes, Gadidae.
AUUGAGUUGACUGCUUUUAUGUAGGAUUCACUAAAAGUGUUAGGGGGGCUGAUAUGAAUGCUUUGAUGUAAUCUACUGUGUUAUUCUACUGUGCUGAUGAGUACCUAGACAGAGAGAGGUUCUACUGUGUUGUUCUACUGUGCUGAUGAGUACCUAGACAGAGAGAGGUUCUAUUGUGGUCUAGUGUGUUCUACUGUGCUGAUGAGUGCCUGGACAGAGAGAGGUUCUACUGUGGUCUAGUGUGUUCUACUGUGCUGAUGAGUGCCUGGACAGAGAGAGGUUCUACUGUGUUGUUCUACUUUGUUGAUGAGUACGUGGACAGAGAGGGGUUCUACUCUGUUGUUCUACUGUGUGUUUGUACUGUGUUGAUGAGUGAUGAGUACCUGGACAGAGAGAGGUUGUUGUCGAUGCGGGCCUUCAGGUCCUCGUUCUGCUGCUGCAGCACCUGCACCUUGUCCUCCAGGAACACGUUCUUCUGGGCCUGAAGCCCCACCAACACAACAAGAGCUGUCAGCCACCACAACUCAAGCUCCGGCUCACCGCUGACGUUUAACUCAGGAGCACAGAAUAGGACAACAUGGUAUAAACACGGUUUGGUUGGAGACUUUUGGAUCCAAGGGCUUGGGCUCAUUAACCCCUGGGCGAGGCUCAUGCUUUUAAGACACACCCAUGGGGCGGGGCUAGUAUUUUCAAGACACACCCUCAUUUUGUAGCAACACUUGAGUCACUAGUUUUCGGUCAAGGACAUUUGUAUUUUAAGUAUUUAAUGAGGAGAAACAAUACUUAAGCUGGAGCUU